This 876-nucleotide long non-coding RNA is filed under the name Homo sapiens (human). RNAcentral's name for it is "HSALNT0393965". The record is from RNAcentral. Lineage: Eukaryota; Metazoa; Chordata; Mammalia; Primates; Hominidae.
AUGUAUUCUUACCAAUGUGUGAUAUUUUUUGCUAAUUUUUUUCCCAACUUGAUGGGUAUGAAAUGACAUCUCAUUGCUGUUUCAGUUUUCAUUAUCUGAUUACUGACAGGGUUAAGCAGUUUUUCAUAGGUUUAUUGGUGAUUCCAGUUUUCUCCUCUGGGGGUUGUUGAUAGGCUUUUGUCAUUUUUCUGUUUUUCUUAAUUGUAUCUAGGAAUUCUUUACACAGAGAUGCCACAAAGUUUAACUUUGGCCUCAGUACUCAGGAAAAGAUAUACUUGGUUUCAGCCUUGGCUUCAGGCUUUGAAAGACAGAGUAACAAAUAGCUACUUCUUUUCUGGCCCCUUCAUCAUCUGCUUGUUCAAUGGAGCUUAGGCCAGAGUCUUUCAAGAAAAAAAGUCUUAUUAGAGAAGUCUUCAUAUCUCGUGAGGAUGAAUUAAAAGCAGAAUCUCAACUUUGCUACCUUUAAAUGUCACGGAGAGAAAAAACUGCAAAACCAUGUGCAACAAUAUCCAUGAUAAAUCAUCUUUGAUCUCAACAUAACGGAGACUAUAAGGAGUAUAAAGACUAGAAGAAAGAGUAGAAGGUGAUCCACAAUCAAUUCAGAACCUGGUCUUCUAUGGUGGCUCACAGUUCCUGCACCCUACAAUAUCGUGCACCUCUCUCUAAAUCUACUGAAACGUGCAGCCUUCUUUUGGAAGAGAAAGAUUCUGAUAUUCAUUAACAAUUAAAUGAAUCUUCAAGAAGCCCAAAUAGUGAUUAUAUUUGAAUAAAUAUUUUAAUGGGAAAAAUAAGGGGGAAGGACUACACUCCUUGCUUCCUUUGGAUUUGAACUUGGCCUGGUGACUUGCCUGAGCCAGUGUGACAGAUGAGAAAGCA